AAAAUCCGUCGACUUUAAAAAUCGUGAGGGUUCAAGUCCCUCUAUCCCCAAAAAAAGCCUAUAUUGACUCCUAAAAUAUUUAACCUAUCCCC
This 92-nucleotide transfer RNA is filed under the name Eccremocarpus scaber. RNAcentral's name for it is "partial tRNA-Leu". The record is from RNAcentral. Lineage: Eukaryota; Viridiplantae; Streptophyta; Magnoliopsida; Lamiales; Bignoniaceae.